This 63-nucleotide transfer RNA is filed under the name Bostrichoidea sp. 7 KM-2017. Its description in RNAcentral is "tRNA-Thr". It matches the Rfam family "tRNA". Rfam says of the family: Transfer RNA (tRNA) molecules are approximately 80 nucleotides in length. Their secondary structure includes four short double-helical elements and three loops (D, anti-codon, and T loops). The record is from RNAcentral. Lineage: Eukaryota; Metazoa; Arthropoda; Insecta; Coleoptera. RNAcentral also lists the same sequence under 1 other name.
GUUUUAAUAGUUUAAGAAAAACAUUGGUCUUGUAAACCAAAGAUAAAAAAACCUUUUAAAACU